Molecule: ribosomal RNA, 253 nt
Filed under: uncultured Myxococcales bacterium
Lineage: Bacteria; Pseudomonadati; Myxococcota; Myxococcia; Myxococcales
Description: partial 16S ribosomal RNA
Rfam family: Bacterial small subunit ribosomal RNA
Source: RNAcentral
UACGGAGGGUGCAAACGUUGCUCGGAAUUAUUGGGCGUAAAGCGCACGUAGGCGGCCGAUUAAGUCGGGUGUGAAAGCCCUGGGCUCAACCCAGGAAGUGCACUCGAAACUGGACGGCUUGAAUAUGGAAGAGGGUUGCGGAAUUCCCGGUGUAGAGGUGAAAUUCGUAGAUAUCGGGAGGAACACCAGUGGCGAAGGCGGCAACCUGGGCCAAUAUUGACGCUGAGGUGCGAAAGCGUGGGGAGCAAACAGG